Molecule: non-coding RNA, 73 nt
Organism: Trichodesmium erythraeum IMS101
Lineage: Bacteria; Bacillati; Cyanobacteriota; Cyanophyceae; Oscillatoriales; Microcoleaceae
Source: Rfam
GCCGGUGUAGCUCAGUUGGUAGAGCACUCGACUUGUAAUCGAACGGUCAGGAGUUCGAGUCUCCUCACCGGCU